Molecule: long non-coding RNA, 204 nt
Organism: Peromyscus leucopus (white-footed mouse)
Lineage: Eukaryota; Metazoa; Chordata; Mammalia; Rodentia; Cricetidae
Exons: 2
Source: RefSeq, a predicted model, not a curated record
ACUUUUCCAAGUAUUUGCUCACUUGCUGUUCAAAACUGCCACCCAUCUCCAUGGAUUAAUAAUUUAUGCUCUCCAAAUAGAAGAGGGAAGAGUCAGUGGACAAUGAAGUGUGUUUCCUAGAUAAUAUGUGGACCGAGAAAAUCAUUUAUGUGUCUGUGACACAGAAGUGGAAGUGAAACUGAGUUGGGAACCAAGGAGACGACU